This 265-nucleotide signal recognition particle RNA is filed under the name Clostridia bacterium. RNAcentral's name for it is "signal recognition particle sRNA large type". It matches the Rfam family "Bacterial large signal recognition particle RNA". Rfam says of the family: The signal recognition particle (SRP) is a universally conserved ribonucleoprotein involved in the co-translational targeting of proteins to membranes. Archaeal SRP consists of a 7S RNA and homologues of the eukaryotic SRP19 and SRP54 proteins. The record is from RNAcentral. Lineage: Bacteria; Bacillati; Bacillota; Clostridia.
CCAUGCUAGAUGGGGAGGUAGCGGUGCCUUGUAACCCGCAAUCCGCUGUAGCGGGAUCGAUGCCUAGCCGAGGAUUAGCUUUGUGGGGUCUGACUUAAACAAGUGGUGAUGAUGAUUGGGUCCUGCGCAACAUAAACUUAUGAACCCCGUCAGGUCCGGAAGGAAGCAGCGGUAAGUAAGCCCUUAUGUGUGCCGUGGGUCAGCCUGAUUAGAGCUAACUAUUUAAGUAACGCCCGGAAGGUCUAAUUCGAAGUUAGGUGCGUGG